Podarcis lilfordi (Lilford's wall lizard) is the source of this 625-nucleotide non-coding RNA. Lineage: Eukaryota; Metazoa; Chordata; Lepidosauria; Squamata; Lacertidae. The record is from the annotation of a GenBank genome assembly.
UCUGUCAGCUUUUGGAUCCAAUCUUUUAUAGAGGAGAUUUCAUUACCCUUCCAUUUUGCUGCAAUCAAAACUCUUGCUGCCGUUGUCGCAUAUAAAAAGAUACCCUUCCUCUUUUGUGGAAUAUCCAGAUCUGUUAUUCCCAGGAGGUAGGCCUCUGGUUUUUUAUUGAAAGAGAUCUUUAGCAUUUUUUGCAGUUCUGCAUGUAUACUCUCCCAGAAUACCUGUAUUUUCCUACAUAUCCACCACAUAUGGUAGAAUGUUCCUGAGUCUCCGCAUCUCCAACAAUUACUUGACACAUUUUUAUACAUUUUUGAAAGUUUCCAUGGUGUUAGAUACCAUCGAUGUUGCAUUUUUGAAAGUUCUCUCUAAUCGUGUAACAAUUUGUGAAUUUCCAAUUGAUCUUCCAUAAAUUUUCCCAUUGGGCCAUGGUUAUUGAAUGGCCAAAAUCCUGGGACCACCUCACCAUUGCCACUGUUACCUCCUCCUCCUUGACUGUCCAGUCAAGGAGGAGUCGAUAAGUUUUGGAAAGAGUUUUUCUUUUAGAAUUUACAAGAUCAGAUUCGAAUCGGGAAAUUUCUGUUGAGAACCCCUUUUGUUUGUCAGAUUUAAAUUUUUCAAAUAACUG